This 2810-nucleotide long non-coding RNA is filed under the name Oryzias sinensis (Chinese medaka). RNAcentral describes it as "lncRNA (ENSOSIG00000011610.1)". The record is from RNAcentral. Lineage: Eukaryota; Metazoa; Chordata; Actinopteri; Beloniformes; Adrianichthyidae.
UUUGGCUUCUACAAGUCUCUGAUGACACUCAUGCACUUUGUGGUGACUGAUGGAGGAGAGAGAACCGUCUACUUCCACAACAUAUCGUCCAGUGACACCAUCAAGCUCAGGGAGGAUCUGAGGAACCUGCUCCGCAUCAAGAACUUCCUGCCUCUGAUGAACAGACUUUUCAUCGAGUUCGAGAGCGUUUUGGACGCCGAUCUGUACGGGAUUCGGCUGAGCGGCCAGAUGUUUGCCCAGAAGUACACGGUCUACAGGAUGAAGUCCCCCAGCAGUGCAGCGGAACCAUCCACAGGUGACGCUCCUGCCGGUUUAUGCAACUUCACCCGACUCCAGAUUCCUCUAAAGUCCCGCUCCCAUCAUCUUCUGAUCUAUUCUGAAAGCGUUCCCAGUGGUCUUUGAACUCUGAUGAUGCUGUUUUUAGAGCAAAUAAAAAAAAACGUAUAGUUCCUGCAGAGCGGCAGGAGUGCUGUAGAAAUUCACCUCUGAGUUUUGGGCCCCUCCCUCAAGGAUUUGAAUAAAAAUACUCAUUUUCUGAAUAUAUGUCCUCGACAUCAGGAAAAUGCCACAAGAACACGUUAAAAAAAGGCAUUUUUAUCAGAGCGUGACUUAAAGUUUACUAAUAAAUUCCAGUUUUUUAUUCUUCCCUUAAACUUUAUUUACAAAAAAAACAGUUUUGUUUUUUAACAGUAAAUGCAGUUGGAGAAUUUCCUUACUGAUCAUAUUUUUGCAUGAAUAUGUUCAACACUAAAGCUCCGGAAUGGCGUACGCCUCCUUUUUGGAUGACCAUGAAAACGGCGCCGUUCCUGUACCCGACAGCGACGCACUCCUUCAUCAGUCCAGCUUGUGUGUCCGUUGAUCAGCCGGCUGACAUCGUGAAAGCGGCCGUCAUUGGCUCAGAGUUUGCCACGGUCAUGCUGAGCGGUCUACCGGAAGACGGCUACACCCACGAGGACGUGGCCAAGCUGGUGUGGCCGUUCUUCAGCACGCCCAACUUCCAGGUCCUGAACCAGAACCUGUACGUCCUGCCCCUGCAGAGGAGGGCAUUUGUGUUUUUCAGCAACUGGACGGCGUGCUCCGAGUUUCUCAAAGAACACGUCCAAACCCCCGUUUCUCUCAAAGGUCAAACUCUGAGUGUGCAGGUCGUCUUGGAGAAGAUUCACCCGGGCUCCAACCAGAGCACUGUGUACAAGAGUCUGAUGAAAUGGAGCAGUCCUCUGAAGCCAGACCCAGAGUUUCUGAAUAACCGGCUGCUGUCAGUGGAGGUGACUGACACUUCAGCAGCCCUGGUCAUGACGAUCAUGAAGGUGGUGGAUUCCAUAUCUCCUUUCGUUAACUUCCUGCCCCUGGCCAAUCGGAUCUACGUUGAGAUGCUUUCCGUCAUGGCCGUGAUCGACGUUCAGCUGAAGAUUUCCUCCAUGAAGCCCUCGGAGCUGCCCUCCGACUGGAAGAAAGUCAAGCGUAUUGAACCCAUGAGUACCCUACAGCAGCGGCUGAUCAAGUGUAGCCAAACCCCUCUUUACCUUAAACCCGACCCCCCACCAAAAACAAAGAAGAAGAAGAAAAAGAAAAGCCAAAGAAAAGCCCACAUGGAAGCCGGUCCCGUCACAGCAGGCGACUGCGUCGACUACAUCGCCCACAACCGCGUCCCCCGCACCUCGGCGGCCGCCGCCAGGGUCUUGAUAGCAGCCGAGUUAACCGAAGAAGCACAAAGAAAAACCGGACCCGGAGUGCCGGCAAACACCGGAACCUCUCCACACCUUUCUGAGAUGGGGUCACAGCUAACCGAUUCUAGAGAAGACUCUGCUCAGGAAGAGAAGAAAGGAACUGGUGAGGAGGAGGAGGAGGAGGAGGAGGGAACGCUCCAAGGAGGUCAAAACCUUGCAGGCCCACCUAAGAAUGAAGAGAUGAAGGGAGAGCAAAAGGAUGAAGACUUGGAGGAAAAUCAGCAAAACAAUUCUUCUCAGGGAUUUUCCAACUCAUGUCCUGAAGGCGAGGAUUUGGAGCCAGGCCUCACCAUCAGACAGGUUCCUGAGAAACCAGCAGCUGACGACGACCAGCAUCAAAGUCCAAGAGGAGACGAAGGAAACGGGGAGGAAAUCUGUUUAGAGUCUUCAACCUCCAAAGAGGAAAGGCUUCAAGACUUAUCUGGAGAUUUUAUGGAGCAAGAAAGAAGUGAACCUGCAGCUGCCGAUCCCAUCGGAGCAGGAGACGACCGUCUGACACUUGUAACCAUGACGAAUCAGGCCAGAGAUCCUGAGGAAGGUCAGUCACCUACAGAGACUGAAGAUGAGGUUCAACAAGAAACCAUGGAUCAUGGUGGAGAAGAGGACCAACAGGAGGGAGAGGAACCUGCAUCCCUCAUUUCCAGCCCUGCAGGCUCCAUAGGAAGGAGAAAAACCACAGACCUCGAGACGCCGACGGGAGGGAACUUCCUCGCUGACCACGCCGAGAAACUUCCAAACAUUGAAGCUACAGCUGCUCCUAAAGAGGCUCGGACAGAAACACCGGAGGAACGCGUUUUUGGAGACGAUCAGCCGACAGCAGCAGGGAAACCAAACAGAAGCCUUCCAGCUGCUACCGGGGGCUCAAUGCAGACGGACGAGGACUCCAGAGAAGCAAACGACGAAGAAGACGAGGCUCCAGACGAAGUUAAAACUUGUGGCUCCACAGCCGAGGAGACGCUGCUCCUAGAGGAGCGUUCAGAAGAACGGGCCAUAGAGGAAGCUGCUGUUGAGGUGAACCAGGAAGAAGAAUCCAGGCGGGAGGAAGAGAAGGCGGACUUCACACCAACGGAGGUGAUGCCCUGA